CGCCCGCAGCCACCACUAGCGCGCGCCGCCGUUGCUGCGGAAUUGACGGGCUGCCGACCGUCGGCGCGAGAGCGGAUCCAGACACUCUUCUAGAAAAUAAUGAACAACAAAUUUGACGCCCUGAAAGAUGAUGACAGUGGAGAUCACGACCAGGACAACAGCUCACCGAAAGACGGGGAGAAGGAAAAAAAUGAUGAAGAGGACAAAGAAGCAAACACUACAAAGAGAAAGGCAGUGGUCCCGGGAGCUGGUGAACACCCUCUUCAGUAUAACUACACCUUCUGGUAUUCUCGACGCACACCAGGACGUCCGGCCAGCACACAGAGCUAUGAACAGAACAUUAAACAGAUUGGCAGCUUUGCUUCGGUGGAGCAGUUCUGGCGUUUUUAUAGUCACAUGAUCCGACCGGGUGAUCUGACUGGUCACAGUGAUUUCCACCUGUUUAAGGAAGGAAUCAAACCCAUGUGGGAGGAUGAUGCUAAUAAGAGUGGUGGUAAAUGGAUCAUUCGGCUCCGGAAAGGCCUGGCGUCUCGCUGCUGGGAAAAUCUGAUCCUGGCCAUGCUUGGCGAACAGUUCAUGGUGGGCGAGGAGAUCUGUGGCGCCGUCGUGUCCGUUCGCUUCCAGGAGGAUAUCAUUUCCAUCUGGAAUAAGACGGCCAGCGAUCAGGCCACCACUGCUCGCAUUAGAGACACUUUACGCAGAGUCCUCAACCUGCCUCCUAAUACUAUAAUGGAGUACAAAACACACACCGACAGCAUCAAAGCUUGGGAGGAUUUCCAUGGUCUAGUGAACGCAAGUGGAGGACGCUAGUAUUUUCACCCAGUGUGUGUGUGUGUGAGAUGGUAUAAACUCAUGACUGACACAUCUAUGAACUUUAUUUCCCCAAUGAAGAGGUCAUUUUCUGAUCACACCAACCUGAAACUGAGCUGUUUUUAAAAGAAAAAAAUGAAAGGGACGCCACAAAAUGGGGCUCAGCAUGGGUUAUUUUUAAUAUUGAAGACUUCUGGCUUUUUAUAAACGUCCAAACAACACCUGAAUAAGGAGGAGGAGGAACCAAAACAUCAAUGGGUGAAUGAUUUCCAGUCAGCCAUCUUUCAGACAGAUAGCGGGACCACACAAACUAAAGGCUGGAAACUGCCACAUUUUCCAAAAACAACAACAACAAAAAAAGAUGAAUUCUUACAUUUACCUGACCGAUCAUCUUAAAAACUGAAGAGAGUUCAUUUAGGUCACAUUAUUAUCCAGUGGAGUCGCAGGCUGAUGGGGAUAUUUUACUAUAGUGCAGUAUUUUAGCUACAGUGUCGAGUUGUUUUAACAUAGAACUGUUGUACAAAAAAAACAAUUAUAUUUGUAAACAUAUUUGGAGAGCUGUAUAAUAGCGGACUUGUUUUUUUUCUUCUUUCUCCUGAGCUGAAGGAGUGUAAACCCAAAGGACAGUGCCCUUUAUGGAUGGGCACGGCGCUGCGUGAUUCACUGUGCCUGGCCUUCAUAAACACUGACUUUACAAUCACUAUUCAGACAUGCUAACUAACAAACACUGAUAUAUCUGGAGUUACUGGAGGCUGUGGAUCAACACCUACUUUAUACUGCCUGGACUUCAGUGCUGGUGCUGGACAGUUGUAUUCGAGGUACAUUAAAAAAAAAAAAAAGAAAAACUAAAAUAAAAAGUGGAAAGUUUUUAAUUAUUGAUCGAUCACAGCAAUAAAUGUUGAUUAUGCAUCUGCUGCUAAUGUU
Molecule: non-coding RNA, 1734 nt
Organism: Danio rerio (zebrafish)
Lineage: Eukaryota; Metazoa; Chordata; Actinopteri; Cypriniformes; Danionidae
Source: RefSeq, a predicted model, not a curated record